Molecule: long non-coding RNA, 1212 nt
Organism: Aegilops tauschii subsp. strangulata
Lineage: Eukaryota; Viridiplantae; Streptophyta; Magnoliopsida; Poales; Poaceae
Source: RefSeq, a predicted model, not a curated record
GCCGCCGCCUGGCUCCAUCCCCCAUCGCGCCGCCGCCGCCCGGCUCCAUCCCCCAUCACGCCGCCCCGUCGCCCGUAUCCCUCCCCCCAGCGCGCUGCCUCUGCCCGUCUCCCUCCCCCAGCGCGCGGCUGCCGUCCAUCUCCCAUUUCCUAGCGCUCAGCACGGUCGGGCCGCGACCUCCGCCUCCAGUUCCGACCCGCUCCUCCACGUGCGCCGGCCACCUUCCCCUCCUUCGCCACGGCCGCCUUCCUCUCCCGCCGCCACGCCCCCAGCCACCUCCUUCCCUCUCCACCACGCGCCGGCGACGAGCCCGUCCCCCAGCGUCGCCAACCUCCCCCGCUGCAGUACGAGCUGCAUCAGCAGGGAAGGCUGCUGCUUCAGCAGUAGCAGCGCUCCGCUGCUGAUGCUACAAGGGGAGGCGGAGGUGGGGUGAGGCACUGCGACGGUCGCAUUCCGGGGAAGGCUGUCAAAGCUUAAGAAAGCGGAAAAACAGUGAGCCUAGGAGGGGAGUCGCUGGAUCGAGGACCUCUAGCUCGAUAGUCCAACUACAUGCUCCACCGUUGGUCGCUCAAGGAGCUGCGUGCAGGCCACCCCGAGCUCCGCCCCUGGACCUGGGUCAACUUUCUCCCUAUCAUCUAGGGUCUUUGGGUUAGAAGUGGUUAAUUGGUUAGCCCCUGGAGCUUGUCAGCGAGCCAGGCACUGGGCCAACCACAAGGCAACGCCACCAGGUAGGGUGCCAGACGGCUGCCGAGCAUGGCAUGAGCCUUUCCGACCCCAUUUCCAGGUUAAGCGCCAAUGAUCUCAUCGUCGGGUUCGCAAAAGCACUAGCGCCUCUGCUUCCAUUUUUCUUCAAAAGUUCUGCUAACCAAUUAGCCACUGAUAAGAUGACUUUACUUCCAACUAGCCACUCAAAAGUUGUGGCCAUUUAAUGACACCUACAUUUGAGACAUGUGAAACUGUAACCUUCCAAUGUUACCGUUUGGUAGCUCAGCAUGCUUCAUGUUUUGGAGAUCUACAGAGUGACUAUCUGAGAGCUGUGUUGGACUUUCUCAUUGCAGCAUGGAACUUCUCUAAAAAUCCCAGUUGAUUUUUAAUGUUUGUUCCUCAUCAGUUCUAAAAAUCUCAGCAUCCAUCCAACUAUGUAUCAGGAUAUACUAUGUUGUAAAUUUAUGUAUGCUUGUAUGUGCAAAAAUAUAUUACGGUUGCAGCUUC